Molecule: long non-coding RNA, 2369 nt
Organism: Mesocricetus auratus (golden hamster)
Lineage: Eukaryota; Metazoa; Chordata; Mammalia; Rodentia; Cricetidae
Exons: 2
Source: RefSeq, a predicted model, not a curated record
CCUGGCGAUACCUUAGCCAUCUCCUGAGUAUAGCAAUUAUAAUUUAAUAGAAACAAGCCGAGCUUCACGAUACAAAAGCAAGGCAGGUUCUGCCACGGCGGAGUUUGAGAAUCCAAGGAGUUGCUGCGGACGGUCAUUGCGGCAUUUACCAAAUACACCGUGAUAAAGAAUGACUGUGUGGAUGAGGGACAUGAAAGAAAGCUGGGCCAAAGCUGAGCAAGUGGAACCCGAGGGUCCUGCAGAAAGCGGCACCGACCUCUAGCUUCUCUUGGCAAGGUUACAAGCACAGAAAAUCAUGGGAAGCUAAUUUCCAACCUGUAACUGAAAAGAUGGAAGGAGACUUACAAAGCCCCCAUCCCCAAUCCCCAGAAAGACACCAAAAACCGUAGCUGGAAAACUGUGUUUCCCAAUUCACAGACCCGGGAUAAUAGCUAUGGAUGCAAGUAGAAGGAAUAUUUAUUUAUCUUCAGCCUUCAACAUGGAUGCGGUCUCCUCCUCUAAUGAGGACUUUCCCACAUUGCACUUUCUGGAAUUCAUAGGACAACGUGGAACAGUCAUUCUUUUUGUCCACCAUGUGAGUCCCUAGAAUCGAAAGAUAGACUCUACAAGCAGACAACUUUACCCACCACUGUUGUGGAAUAAUCUUUUUGUAUACUCUAAGAUUUGUCUCUCAGAUUGGUUUAAUAAAAAACUGAAUGGCCAAUGGCAAGGAAGUAUUUGGGGGGCAGAAAGGACUCUGGGAAGAGGAAGGUCAGAGUCAUGAGGAGACUCUAGGGAUGCAGAGCAAGCAAUGUGGGUUUUACAAAGUAAAGGUAAUGGAGCCAUGUAAAGGAACCUAGAUUAAAAGACAUGGGUUAAUUUAAGUUGUAAGAACGUGUUAGAAACAAGCCUAAGCUAUUGGCUAAGCUUUCAUAAAUAAGAAGUCUCUGUGUGCUUAUUUUGGAGCUGCUUUGAGGGACAGAAAAAUCUGCCUAUAUACCAUGCCAUCUCUCCCACCCUGUUACAACAUGUAUUAAGGAAUUAGGUUAAAUAAAUGAGCCAGAAGAAGAAAGGCAAAUGUUGUAUAGCACCACCCAGAAGUGUGUCUAAUUAAGUUGAUUUAACAGAAGAGAAACAAACAUAAAAUGGUGAUGAGCAGAGACUAGGAAGGAUAGGAGAGUGGAGCUCUCUUAUUUGACUGCUACUAAAUUCUGGUUACACAGUAAAAAUCAGAUCUGUUGCUAAGUAAAGACCAUAGGACAAUAUGAGGCAUACAUCUCAAAACGACUACAAAAGAAGGAUUUUCAAUGUUUUUAUGAUAAUAAAAUAAUAAAUGUUUGAGGACAUAGUACAAUUAUCCUAACUUGAAUAUUACAUAAUAUAUGCACACGUUUGAUAACUUUGUAGGAAAGUUAAUGUAUCAAUUAGAUAAAUUGAAAUAGUUGUAACUCAUAUAGCAUUGUUCAAAAGUCAUCCAAGUGGUAUUAAUUUUGUUUUUGCCAGAUAUUUCAAUGUCUAUGAAUAAGUAUUCCACAAAUUGUUUUAGAUCCUUACUGCCAUAUUCCCAAGUGCCAGAAAGUGACCAGUUAAGCCCAUAUCUUGGGCAUGCAAUUACUCUGUUAACAGGUCCAUGGCUAAAAUACAUCAAUGUAAUAAGCAACAACAGCUACAGAAUUUCUUGCUUUAACCUGUGGUAGCUCUGAGAUAUAUUCUGCCUUAGGUUAUUCCAAUUUUGCCAAUAUAUAUGUGCCUCAAUUGACAGAAUGUUUUAUAGUCAUAUUUUCUUUUGCAGAUUGCUAUAAUGUCUGUUGUGAUACUUGGAAUGAGAAAUAUCCCUUCUAGGCUCUUGCGUCAAAACCUAAGUCCCCAUUGGUGCCAAUAUGCUAGGAGGUUCUAGAACAUUUAGGAGGUAGGAUCUAAUUGAAGAAAUAUCACCGUGGGGGCAUGCCUUUGGUUGUACCUUAUUGUAUGAAGAUACUCCAUGAGGUGAAGGAACUUCUACCAUAUAUUGCACCAUCAUGAAACCACGGACUAAAAUUUCUAUAACAACAAGCCAAAAUAUCUCUUUCCACUUUUCAAUUGUUCUAACAGGGUUUUCCUCACUGCAAACAGAGAAUGCAUCUUUCUGCAUGACAGUGGUUAUGUACUUACGAUUCAUGACCUCUUUGGUGGUCAACAUGACCCUAUCAAAGGGGUCAUAUAUCAGAUACCAUCACUGCCAUCAUCAUCUUCAUCAUCAUCAUCAUCAUCACCAUCAUCAUCUUGGACAAUCCACACACAACCCUUGUCCUGUGCUGAGCAUGUUCUAAUGAGUAAGAGAUCAAUUAAAAGAUUAAAUUAAUGCAAUUGAAUCUUCACAUUGGUUUAAUAAACUAAAGUACAUAUCUAAA